CCGGACGGCGCGGGGGGACGGUACCGGCGGAGGAAGCCCCUGCAAACUACGUGCCAGCAGCCGCGGUAAGACGUAGGGGGCAAGCGUUGUCCGGAAUUACUGGGCGUAAAGGGCGUGUAGGCGGUCGCGCACGUAGCGGUUUUCAGCCGUCGGCUCACCCGACGGAGGGCGGCUAAACGGCGCGGCUCGAGGGCAGGAGAGGUGCAUGGAAUUCCUGGUGGAGCGGUGAAAUGCGUAGAGAUCAGGAAGAACACCGGUGGCGAAGGCGGUGCACUGGCCUGGCCCUGACGCUGAGGCGCGACAGCGUGGGGAGCGAACGGGAUUAGAUACCCUGGUAGUCAAGGGCG
Molecule: ribosomal RNA, 347 nt
Filed under: uncultured bacterium
Lineage: Bacteria
Description: bacterial SSU rRNA
Rfam family: Bacterial small subunit ribosomal RNA
Source: RNAcentral